RNAcentral lists this transfer RNA (59 nucleotides) under Elasmodontomys obliquus (plate-toothed giant hutia). RNAcentral describes it as "partial tRNA-Phe". The record is from RNAcentral. Lineage: Eukaryota; Metazoa; Chordata; Mammalia; Rodentia; Heptaxodontidae.
GUUAAUGUAGCUUAAAUAAAGCAARGCACUGAAAAUGCCUAGAUGNCACUCCAUAAACA